Molecule: ribosomal RNA, 403 nt
Filed under: uncultured bacterium
Lineage: Bacteria
Description: partial 16S ribosomal RNA
Rfam family: Bacterial small subunit ribosomal RNA
Source: RNAcentral
AUUGAACGCUGGCGGCAGGCCUAACACAUGCAAGUCGAGCGCGCGGCGGACGGGUGAGUAAUGUAUGGGGACUGCCCGAUAGCGGGGGAUAACUACUGGAAACGUUAGCUAAUACCCCAUACUAUCGGAUAACCCAUAUGGGAUUAGCUAGUAGGUGAGGUAAUGGCUCACCUAGGCGCCGAUCCCUAGCUGGUCUGAGAGGAUGGUCGGCCACACUGGGCCGGAGACACGGCCCAGACGCCGACGGAGGCAGCAGUUGGGAAUAUUGCACAAUGGGCGCAAGCCUGAUGAAGCCAUGCCGCGUGUAUGAAGAAGGCGCUAGGGUUGUAAAGUACUUUGAGUCGGGAGGCGGUACCGACAGAAGAAGCACCGGCUAACUCCGUGCCAGCAGCCGCGGUAAUUC